CCAACUGACGUUGUUAGUGAACCUAUCUUGUUCACAAAAUAUAUAAGCCAAUUGCGAUUAUUGCGAUUGGCUAUUUUUUU
RNAcentral lists this unclassified non-coding RNA (80 nucleotides) under Vibrio sp. J2-31. RNAcentral describes it as "Qrr". It matches the Rfam family "Qrr RNA", at positions 30 to 108 of the family's 108-position model. From Rfam's summary of the family: This family represents a set of small RNAs (the Qrr RNAs) that are thought to be involved in the regulation of quorum sensing in Vibrio species. It is believed that these RNAs, guided by a protein, Hfq, can mediate the destabilisation of the quorum-sensing master regulators LuxR/HapR mRNAs. RNAcentral also lists the same sequence under 1 other name. The record is from RNAcentral. Lineage: Bacteria; Pseudomonadati; Pseudomonadota; Gammaproteobacteria; Vibrionales; Vibrionaceae.